Carassius carassius (crucian carp) is the source of this 1067-nucleotide long non-coding RNA. RefSeq lists it as uncharacterized. The record is from RefSeq and is a predicted model, not a curated record. Lineage: Eukaryota; Metazoa; Chordata; Actinopteri; Cypriniformes; Cyprinidae. The transcript is spliced from 5 exons.
CAUGAGAACGUCCAGAGGAAGCAGGAGAGGAGCGAGACGAGGAGGAUGAAGAGCAGCCGAGCGAGAGCGAGAGUGAAGAUGAAGAUAAUGAGAUCAUAUACAACCCCAAAAACCUGCCGCUCGGCUGGGACGGAAAGCCGAUUCCAUACUGGCUGUACAAGAAGCACGGCCUGAACAUCAAUUAAAACUGUGAGAUCUGUGGGAAUUACACGUACAGAGGACCCAAAGCCUUCCAGAGACACUUUGCAGAGUGGCGUCACGCUCAUGGCAUGCGCUGUUUGGGCAUUCCUAACACAGCCCACUUCGCCAACAUCACCCAGAUUGAGGACGCAGUGUCCCUCUGGUCAAAGCUGAAGUCACAGAAAGCAUUAGAGCGCUGGCAGCCGGACACAGAGGAGGAAUAUGAAGACUCCAGCGGAAACGUGGUCAACAAGAAGACUUUUGAGGAUCUGAAUCGACAGGGGCUUCUGUAGCUCAACAAACAAGAGUCUGAACACACAAAACACUCACAGCGUGAAUACUGAAGCAGAAAUGAGAAAGAGUUUAGUCCUCUUGUGUUUCCCACAGUUUGGGAGGAAUUUGAUUUGUCUUUUUGAGAAUGAGCCGUUUGUACAUUUGUAUUACUCUUUCAUUAUUCCUUAUUUUUGUAUUUACUGUCUUAAAUGUGAAACAGAGACUUUCAUUAAUCAAUCAAGUUUAGUACGAUGUGUGAACAAUGUUUUCUUGAGCAGCCUGCUGUUUGUAACCAGUCUGGAGACUUUAAACCUGCUGUAGAAUAAAAUCAAACCGUGAGAUGGUUUUACUUCAGCAGCAUCUGUCACUAAAAUAUAUUCAGACCCCUUCAUUUUAUGUUGCAGUCUAAUGCUAAAAUCCUUUAUUUUUCAUUCACAUCAAUCUACACUCCAUACAUCAUAAUGACAGAAAAUCAGAUGUGAUGACUGCAAAUGUGUUGAAAGAAAGAACAAACAGAAAAACAGUGUCACAUUGACUGAAUUUAGUUCAGAAGCACCUCAUUUCUCUGAAUCGUCGAGAUUAAAAAUACAAUUAUUAAAAUGCAGAUUUCUGUA